GGGUUUUUAGUAUAUUUGGUAUAAUUAAUUGCAGAUUAAUAGGUUUUUAAGCCCUA
Molecule: transfer RNA, 56 nt
Filed under: Contracaecum osculatum
Lineage: Eukaryota; Metazoa; Nematoda; Chromadorea; Rhabditida; Anisakidae
Description: tRNA-Cys
Source: RNAcentral